RNAcentral lists this microRNA precursor (75 nucleotides) under Dasypus novemcinctus (nine-banded armadillo). RNAcentral describes it as "miRNA (ENSDNOG00000046102.1)". Lineage: Eukaryota; Metazoa; Chordata; Mammalia; Cingulata; Dasypodidae. The record is from RNAcentral.
GUCCUGAGCCCGCUCCUGGUCCUGGUUCUGGUCCUUGUCCCAGUCCAGGUCCUGGUCCUGGUCCUGGUGCUGGCC